This is a long non-coding RNA of Peromyscus leucopus (white-footed mouse), 1522 nucleotides long. RefSeq lists it as uncharacterized. Lineage: Eukaryota; Metazoa; Chordata; Mammalia; Rodentia; Cricetidae. The transcript has 2 exons. The record is from RefSeq and is a predicted model, not a curated record.
CCUCAGUUUCUCAGUUUGCAAGCCUGAAGAAAAUAACAGCUGGUCCUAGUGUUACAAAGCAUGGGUGUAGUAAGUGUGAUCAGGACACCAACCACAACUGCUUCUGGCCCUUAGGGCCAGGUCUCACCUCCUCAUAGUGGCGACCUGUCCCAGCUCCCCUAGUGAGAAACUCUAUUGAGAAGGAAGCAAGACAUCUGGAGAGAGCUUUGAGCCGGGUCAGACAGGCAUGGUUAAUCAGGGUAGGUGCACCUCUGACCUAGCCCUGAAUUAUCAUGUACAAAGGCUGCAGUCAGUGAAGGAACUCAGAGAAUGGGAGUCUCAAAGAGGAGGCUAGAAGACAGGCCUAGAAGGGACUUCACAGAAGUCACCCCAAAUGAUCUGAGGAGGAGAAAUGAACCCAAACCAAUGAUACAAGGAGCACCUACUCUGAGCUUUCUGGUCUUGGGUAAUAGUGUACUGUAGGAUGUUUCCUCCGUGAAUUUGUACCCUGGAUUUCUUAGGGCAGCCUAGGAACACCACUUCACUGGUGCCAGAAAACUGCUAUUCAAGAGGAAAUUGACUGGGUUUAGGUCGUUUGGAAAGAGGGCCAGCUGCAUGGAGCUGAACAAACCCUGUCCUGUGGACUGCUACCAUCCCUGCAUCCUCUCAAACAGCACUUGGACUCGGUAGGCCUGAUAAGUUAGAAACGUUUGGCUUAGAUUUUUCUUCAGCCACAAUGAUUUGAGAAACCAAAUGCAGAUGGAAAAUACUCUGUGGAUGUUGUGAAGCCCAAAGCGCCUGAAAAUAGUUUGAAUGCAUUUCCAACCCUUGGCAGGCAGCUGUUUUCCUUCACACUAGCCUGCUCGGUGCAUCUCCGUUCCCAGGGAGAGUGUCUCUGUGGCCUCAGGCCUUCCUGGCUCUUUCCACACUGGUAAUUAGGAGGCAGGUUGUUCCUGAAGAGGAGACUCCACAUAUCUGAAGGCACAGUCAUGGAGUAACUAUGUGAGAACUGCUCUCUUGUGAUAUUUGUUUCAGGAAGUUCUGCAGGAUCUUUCCAGUCUCAUGAAAGAAAAAGAACAAGAAAAAUGUCCUGUCUUGAAUCUUGGCUCUGUUCAUGUGACUUUCCCUAUCUUGCCCACAGCACACUGACAAACACCACAUAUGUCCCAACAAGCUAGUUCCCAGAUCACCGUCCAUUCAUAACCUCAGGCUGCCAUAAGAACCCCUAUUCCUUCCUUCUUGUGAACAAGAAUGCUCCAUUUGGCUCCAAGAAACAGGCUGACAUGACCACAGGGCUGGUGAGCUCUCCAAUCAUUCCACCUGAAAGCAACACCAUCAGAACGAUCGGGUAGUUUUUCUUGGUGGAUUUUAACAGCACAGGGCUAUUUAUUGUUGCCAAAGUGUAAGUGGGAAUAUUCUGGGAAAUGCAAUUUAAUUUCCAAGCUUUGGACUGGUUUCAUUGUUGGUAAUUUCAGUGCUUCUUAGACCAAAUUUAUCACCAAUUAUUCUGUCUGCACCAGAUGUGGUAGGACUUUGUCAUUUU